UACAGCGAAACUGCGAAUGGCUCAUUAUAUAAGUUAUCGUUUAUUUGAUAGUACCUUACUACUUGGAUAACCGUGGUAAUUCUAGAGCUAAUACAUGCUAAAAAUCCCGACUUCGGAAGGGAUGUAUUUAUUAGAUUAAAAACCAAUGCCCUCUGGGUCCUUGGUGAUUCAUGAUAACUUCUCGAAUCGCACGGCCUUGCGCCGGCGAUGGUUCAUUCAAAUUUCUUCCCUAUCAACUUUCGAUGUUUGGGUAGUGGCCAAACAUGGUUGCAACGGGUAACGGAGGGUUAGGGCUCGACCCCGGAGAAGGAGCCUKAGAAACGGCUACUACAUCCAAGGAAGGCAGCAGGCGCGCAAAUUACCCAAUCCCGAUUCGGGGAGGU
RNAcentral lists this ribosomal RNA (383 nucleotides) under Marquandomyces marquandii. RNAcentral's name for it is "SSU rRNA". It matches the Rfam family "Eukaryotic small subunit ribosomal RNA", at positions 77 to 467 of the family's 1831-position model. Lineage: Eukaryota; Fungi; Ascomycota; Sordariomycetes; Hypocreales; Clavicipitaceae. The record is from RNAcentral.